GGUUAAGUGACUAAGCGUACACGGUGGAUGCCUUGGCAGUCAGAGGCGAUGAAAGACGUAGUAACUUGCGAUAAGCCCAGAUUAGGUAGUAACAACCAUUUGAGUCUGGGAUUUCUGAAUGGGGAAACCCACGUGCAUAAGCACGUAUCCUUACCUGAAUACAUAGGGUAAGGAGGCGAACCGGGGGAACUGAAACAUCUAAGUACCCCGAGGAAAAGAAAUCAACCGAGAUUCCGAAAGUAGCGGCGAGCGAAAUUGGACUAGCCCUUAAGCUUUACACGCGUUAGACGAACGGUCUGGAAAGUCCGACGAUACAGGGUGAUAGUCCCGUAGUUGACGACGUGUGUUCAGUGAAAUCGAGUAGGGCGGGACACGUGAUAUCCUGUCUGAAUAUGGGGGGACCAUCCUCCAAGGCUAAAUACUACUGACUGACCGAUAGUGAACCAGUACCGUGAGGGAAAGGCGAAAAGAACCCCUGUGAGGGGAGUGAAAUAGAACCUGAAACCGUGUACGUACAAGCAGUAGGAGCAGGCUUUGUCCUGUGACUGCGUACCUUUUGUAUAAUGGGUCAGCGACUUAUAUUCAGUGGCAAGGUUAACCAUCUAGGGGAGCCGUAGGGAAACCGAGUCUUAACUGGGCGUUCAGUCUCUGGAUAUAGACCCGAAACCAGGUGAUCUAGCCAUGGGCAGGUUGAAGGUUGAGUAACAUCAACUGGAGGACCGAACCGACUAAUGUUGAAAAAUUAGCGGAUGACUUGUGGCUAGGGGUGAAAGGCCAAUCAAACCUGGAGAUAGCUGGUUCUCCCCGAAAGCUAUUUAGGUAGCGCCUCGGACGAAUACUACUGGGGGUAGAGCACUGUUAAGGCUAGGGGGUCAUCCCGACUUACCAACCCUUUGCAAACUCCGAAUACCAGUAAGUACUAUCCGGGAGACACACGGCGGGUGCUAACGUCCGUCGUGGAGAGGGAAACAACCCAGACCGCCAGCUAAGGUCCCAAAUUACUACUAAGUGGGAAACGAUGUGGGAAGGCUCAGACAGCCAGGAUGUUGGCUUAGAAGCAGCCAUCAUUUAAAGAAAGCGUAAUAGCUCACUGGUCGAGUCGGCCUGCGCGGAAGAUGUAACGGGGCUAAGUAGUAAACCGAAGCUGCGGCAAUGUGCUUUUGCACAUUGGGUAGGGGAGCGUUCUGUAAGCGGUUGAAGGUGUGUGGUAACGCAUGCUGGACGUAUCAGAAGUGCGAAUGCUGACAUGAGUAACGAUAAAGGGGGUGAAAAACCUCCUCGCCGGAAGACCAAGGGUUCCUGUCCAACGUUAAUCGGGGCAGGGUAAGUCGACCCCUAAGGCGAGGCCGAAAGGCGUAGUCGAUGGGAAACGGGUUAAUAUUCCCGUACUUCUUACAAUUGCGAUGGGGGGACGGAGAAGGCUAGGUGGGCCUGGCGACGGUUGUCCAGGUUCAAGUGCGUAGGCUUAAGAGUUAGGUAAAUCCGGCUCUUUUUAAGGCUGAGACACGACGUCGAGCACCUACGGGUGUGAAGUCAUUGAUGCCAUGCUUCCAGGAAAAGCCUCUAAGCUUCAGAUUGUAAGGAAUCGUACCCCAAACCGACACAGGUGGUCGGGUAGAGAAUACCAAGGCGCUUGAGAGAACUCGGGUGAAGGAACUAGGCAAAAUGGUACCGUAACUUCGGGAGAAGGUACGCUCUCGACGGUGAAGUCCCUCGCGGAUGGAGCUAUUGAGAGUCGCAGAUACCAGGUGGCUGCAACUGUUUAUUAAAAACACAGCACUGUGCAAAAUCGUAAGAUGACGUAUACGGUGUGACGCCUGCCCGGUGCCGGAAGGUUAAUUGAUGGGGUUAGACUUCGGUCGAAGCUCUUGAUCGAAGCCCCGGUAAACGGCGGCCGUAACUAUAACGGUCCUAAGGUAGCGAAAUUCCUUGUCGGGUAAGUUCCGACCUGCACGAAUGGCGUAAUGAUGGCCACGCUGUCUCCACCCGAGACUCAGUGAAAUUGAAAUCGCUGUGAAGAUGCAGUGUACCCGCGGCUAGACGGAAAGACCCCGUGAACCUUUACUACAGCUUGGCACUGAACAUUGACCCUACAUGUGUAGGAUAGGUGGGAGGCUUUGAAGCA
This 2125-nucleotide ribosomal RNA is filed under the name Vibrio parahaemolyticus. Its description in RNAcentral is "partial 23S ribosomal RNA". It matches the Rfam family "Bacterial large subunit ribosomal RNA", at positions 1 to 2164 of the family's 2925-position model. The record is from RNAcentral. Lineage: Bacteria; Pseudomonadati; Pseudomonadota; Gammaproteobacteria; Vibrionales; Vibrionaceae.